RNAcentral lists this unclassified non-coding RNA (283 nucleotides) under plant metagenome. RNAcentral's name for it is "partial contains small subunit ribosomal RNA, internal transcribed spacer 1, and 5.8S ribosomal RNA". The record is from RNAcentral.
UUUCCGUAGGUGAACCUGCGGAAGGAUCAUUGUCGAAACCUGCCCAGCAGAACGCCCCGCGAACUUGUAUACACAACUGGGGGCGGGGGGGCGUUCUCGCCCCGUGCCCCCGAACGGCGGGGAGACACUCGUGCCUUCUUGCCGAACAACGAACCCCGGCGCGGUCUGCGCCAAGGAACUUCAACUAAAGAGAGCCUCCAGUCGCCUCGGAAACGGCGUGCGUGCCGGAGGCGAAUUUUGUGCAAAACCAUAACGACUCUCGGCAACGGAUAUCUCGGCUCUC